This 20-nucleotide small RNA is filed under the name Arabidopsis thaliana (thale cress). RNAcentral describes it as "ATSL218770". The record is from RNAcentral. Lineage: Eukaryota; Viridiplantae; Streptophyta; Magnoliopsida; Brassicales; Brassicaceae.
UGCUCUUAAUUUUGUCUCUU